RNAcentral lists this ribosomal RNA (253 nucleotides) under uncultured bacterium. RNAcentral's name for it is "partial 16S ribosomal RNA". It matches the Rfam family "Bacterial small subunit ribosomal RNA", at positions 524 to 776 of the family's 1533-position model. The record is from RNAcentral.
GACAGAGGAGGCGAGCGUUAUCCGGAAUUAUUGGGCGUAAAGCGUUCGUAGGUGGUUUGACAAGUCUGGGGUUAAAGCCCGGAGCUCAACUGCGGAUCGGCCCUGGAAACUGUCAGACUUGAGUAAGGUAGGGGUUGCGGGAAUUCCCGGUGUAGCGGUGAAAUGCGUAGAUAUCGGGAAGAACACCAGCGGCGAAAGUGCGCAACUGGGCCAUUAAUGACACUGAGGGACGAAAGCUAGGGGAGCGAAUGGG